UACGAAGGGGGCUAGCGUUGCUCGGAAUCACUGGGCGUAAAGCGCACGUAGGCGGAUCGUUAAGUCAGAGGUGAAAUCCUGGGGCUCAACCCCAGAACUGCCUUUGAUACUGGCGAUCUUGAGUGUGGAAGAGGUUGGUGGAACUCCGAGUGUAGAGGUGAAAUUCGUAGAUAUUCGGAAGAACACCAGUGGCGAAGGCGGCCAACUGGUCCACUACUGACGCUGAGGUGCGAAAGCGUGGGGAGCAAACAGG
RNAcentral lists this ribosomal RNA (253 nucleotides) under uncultured prokaryote. RNAcentral describes it as "partial 16S ribosomal RNA". It matches the Rfam family "Bacterial small subunit ribosomal RNA", at positions 524 to 776 of the family's 1533-position model. The record is from RNAcentral.